Molecule: ribosomal RNA, 253 nt
Filed under: uncultured bacterium
Lineage: Bacteria
Description: partial 16S ribosomal RNA
Rfam family: Bacterial small subunit ribosomal RNA
Source: RNAcentral
UACGUAGGUGGCAAGCGUUGUCCGGAAUUAUUGGGCGUAAAGCGCGCGCAGGCGGUCCUUUAAGUCUGAUGUGAAAGCCCACGGCUCAACCGUGGAGGGUCAUUGGAAACUGGGGGACUUGAGUGCAGAAGAGGAAAGUGGAAUUCCACGUGUAGCGGUGAAAUGCGUAGAGAUGUGGAGGAACACCAGUGGCGAAGGCGACUUUCUGGUCUGUAACUGACGCUGAGGCGCGAAAGCGUGGGGAGCAAACCGG